This 446-nucleotide ribosomal RNA is filed under the name Clostridioides difficile. RNAcentral's name for it is "bacterial LSU rRNA". It matches the Rfam family "Bacterial large subunit ribosomal RNA", at positions 1773 to 2219 of the family's 2925-position model. Lineage: Bacteria; Bacillati; Bacillota; Clostridia; Peptostreptococcales; Peptostreptococcaceae. The record is from RNAcentral.
GUGGCCGCAGGGAAUAGGCCCAAGCGACUGUUUACCAAAACCAUAGGUUUCUGCUAAGUCGCCAGACGAUGUAUAGGAGCUGACGCCGGAACGGUGCCGGAAGUUUAAGUGGUCCGGUUAGAGCAAUCGAAGCAGUGAACUUAAGCCCCAGUAAACGUCGGCCGUACCUAUACCGGUCCUAAGGUAGCGAAGUUCCUUGUCGGGUAAGUUCCGACCCGCACGAAAGGCGUAACGAUUUGUGCACUGUCUCAACAACAGACUCGGUGAAAGUGUAAUUCCGGUGAAGAUGCCGGAUACCUGCGACAGGACGGACAGACCCCAUGGAGCUUUCAUGUAGCCAGACUGGGGGGUUUGGACAUACACCUACAGGAGAGGUGGGAGGCUUUCAAACCUGGCCAGCAGUUUUGGACGAGCCAUCUGGUGGGUGACAACCCGGUGGUACCGGC